Molecule: ribosomal RNA, 397 nt
Filed under: uncultured bacterium
Lineage: Bacteria
Description: partial 16S ribosomal RNA
Rfam family: Bacterial small subunit ribosomal RNA
Source: RNAcentral
AUACGUAGGUGGCAAGCGUUGUCCGGAAUUAUUGGGCGUAAAGCGCGCGCAGGCGGUCCUUUAAGUCUGAUGUGAAAGCCCACGGCUCAACCGUGGAGGGUCAUUGGAAACUGGGGGACUUGAGUGCAGAAGAGGAAAGUGGAAUUCCAAGUGUAGCGGUGAAAUGUGUAGAGAUUUGGAGGAACACCAGUGGCGAAGGCGACUUUCUGGUCUGUAACUGACGCUGAGGCGCGAAAGCGUGGGGAGCAAACAGGAUUAGAUACCCUGGUAGUCCACGCCGUAAACGAUGAGUGCUAAGUGUUAGGGGGUUUCCGCCCCUUAGUGCUGCAGCUAACGCAUUAAGCACUCCGCCUGGGGAGUACGGUCGCAAGACUGAAACUCAAAGGAAUUGACGGGG